CUUCCUCAAAGGGAAAGUGGGCUCCUCCCCACCUCACUGCCUUCUUGGAAACUGGAAGCUUGGAUUGCCCCUCCACCCAUCCCCCGGAAGGAGAGGAAGGCGUGUGGAGGGACUUAGCCCAGGCUCACACAACAUGCAAUCAUCGGCCCGGGACUUCUAUCCAGAAAUGUACUAUGCCCUUCCGCCCUCUGCAUUCACGUAGACUCUGCCUGUGGAACAAAUGGUUGAUCUACAACAAUAUUGAGGAACAACAAGCACUUGAAGAAGAAAACAGUGCCAGGAACCACCUGUUACUUUGCAUGGAAAAGAGCUCAUGAGUUCUUAGAAUGUGGGGUGUGCGUUGUAUGUUAGACGUCAGUGAGCAGUGAGUGUUCGGUGAGGACUUCACAUCUGCCUCCACAGAUGUGCUCGGUCAAGGGCGGGGACAUGAAAAAGUCUUCAUCUGUGCCACAUGUCGUUUCCCUGCUGUUAUCUCUAAACAGUGUGGUAGAACAAGUAUGUGCACAGCACUAGCUUUAUUCUAUUGGAAGCGUGUUGCAUGAAAUGCCAUGCCGUUGAAUACAGGGGAAAUCAGCAGCCUUGGAUUUUGGUAUCUGCAGGAGCCAACCCCACAGCAUCCAUGUACUCUACUUCCUAAGAAAGGAAGUAGUCUGGCAAAUUAGUCUAUCCACAUUCUGGGGGAGACUACAGAGGGUCUGGACCGUCCCUUAUGGAGGCCAGAGCGGUGGUGCUGUCCGCUGUCCAAGGGGUAUCUAUUCUCAAACGCCUGGGCAUGAUGUCAAGAGCUCCAGCCAGCCAGAUCUGCCCAGUCUUUCAGAGAAGCUCCAGCUCCAGGAGGUCAGGGACAAGCUCCUGACUUGAAACUCACUAAAAGGAGAAGUGUAGAAAUUCCCACCCCCUUAUGUUGGUGACUGGUCUGCAACAUUAGGAAAGGGAGUUUUUCCAGAAUGAAU
RNAcentral lists this long non-coding RNA (953 nucleotides) under Cricetulus griseus (Chinese hamster). RNAcentral's name for it is "lncRNA (ENSCGRG00015032105.1)". Lineage: Eukaryota; Metazoa; Chordata; Mammalia; Rodentia; Cricetidae. The record is from RNAcentral.